Molecule: ribosomal RNA, 253 nt
Filed under: uncultured bacterium
Lineage: Bacteria
Description: partial 16S ribosomal RNA
Rfam family: Bacterial small subunit ribosomal RNA
Source: RNAcentral
UACGAAGGGGGCUAGCGUUGCUCGGAAUUACUGGGCGUAAAGGGCGCGUAGGCGGACAGUUAAGUCGGGGGUGAAAGCCCGGGGCUCAACCUCGGAAUUGCCUUCGAUACUGGCUGUCUUGAGUAUGGGAGAGGUGUGUGGAACUCCGAGUGUAGAGGUGAAAUUCGUAGAUAUUCGGAAGAACACCAGUGGCGAAGGCGACACACUGGCCCAUUACUGACGCUGAUGCGCGAAAGCGUGGGGAGCAAACAGG